Cyanistes caeruleus (blue tit) is the source of this 2165-nucleotide long non-coding RNA. RefSeq lists it as uncharacterized. The record is from RefSeq and is a predicted model, not a curated record. Lineage: Eukaryota; Metazoa; Chordata; Aves; Passeriformes; Paridae.
GGGAGCCCGGCCGCCUCCGAGGCCGAGGAAGGGCUGACAUUGCCGGAGUGAAAAAAAAAGGACGAAUCCGGGCCAGUUUGCACACCUGUGGUGCUUCCACAGAAUCAGUUGUGUUGGAAAAGAACUCUGAGAUCAUCGAGCCCAACCUUUCCUGGCUCUGGAUGCACUGAGUUACCCAUUUUCCCACGUGUGGAUGUGCUCCUGUUUACAUUACUUGCAAACAACUUCAGUAGAAGGUAAAACUCCUUCCCGUCAGACUAAGCUGAAGGAUGUCCCCAAGCCGAGAGGGUUUUGGGGUCUGCACUUUAAAACUUGAAUUAUUUAAUGACACAACAGUACAAAUAGCUAACACAUGCAAGCCGCAGGAAAAAAAAAAGUGGAAAAAACAGGAGGGUAGAGCGAAUAUGCUGAUAAAUGCCUGUGAUACACAAACACAGGCAGUAAAUACCGUGUGGUUCAUUAGAUACGGGCUGGGGUGAUCCUGCCCUGCAGUUAAAGGCCUCUCACUUCCUCUGCCUUCUCCAGGUUGGUGCUUUCUACCAGCUCCGCUCUCCAGCUCUGCUGGUUCCCAGUUUGCCACCCUUUAAAUGUUGAGCUGUUGAUCCUCUCUGGUGAUACAAUGCAACUCUUUGAUGCCAAAAGCCCCUUCCUCCACUGAAUCCACAAGUUUCAGGGAUGCUGGGACUACACAGGAAAGGCAGGCAACAUGUAAUGAAAUUACGUGGAAGAGAAAGAUCCAUUAGAGCAAUGAGAUACCCGUAAAUCCUGUUAGCAGCCAAGCAUUUCCAUAGAAAUUUCCUGAUUCUAGAUGCCCAGCACCUUUCCUACGCUUCCAUUUCCUUAACACCAUUCCUAAAUCCCUACAUGGCUUCAUUUACAAGCCUAAACCCCAAAUGUAAAUUGAGGGGGGAGGAUCUCGUGUCCUUGGGUUUUAGCUCUAAAUUCCGUAGUUCAGGGUCUACUGGAAAGGGCAGCCUCCAGCUCUUGGACCAGGCGUCAUCUCUUGGCUUUAGACUCCUCCUGCACCACUCAGUUAAAGUUCAGGAUUUCACUAGUGGCUCGUCAGAGCGAGAACGUGCACAUUUAUGGAGAGUGGGAACUCAGCACAGCCCUCAGUUUCCUCUGCUGCCUUUGCCGGGAUUUGGUGCUGUGCGGAAGGAUGAGGCAUAAAGAGGAGGAACUCACCCAGGUCCCACCCGGCACUGCAGAAGGAACCAGAAUUACCAGCCCUCACCCUGCCUCGCCCAGGGUGUGCCCUGAUGGAAACAAACUGUUGGACAUUUUCUCCAAGCACCUCUGCUGCUGCACAGGUGGGGAGCGAAGGUGGGAAAGCAUUCCUGAGGGGAUGGGGGGAAUACAGUUUUGUGGUGCUGGUGAAUCCUUCAGCAGCAUGACAGAACAGCAAUUUGGGAUUAUCUCUUACAAACCAACCCUAUUUUAGUUUUUAAAAUAAUCAAGAUUUGCACAUUGUGGUGUAAAAACCAGAAAUGUUUUUCAUUUACAUUUCCAGAAACUUUUGAGAUCUCUUCCCGAAUAUUUCAACACAUUCUCCUUCCCCAUUUUCCCAGCUGGGAUAAUUUUUUGCCAGCACAGGCAAUUCUUCUUGGUAUCCAUGGGAAUUGCCUCCAUAAUUAGACGUGCACCCAGUGCACAGAUCAGAGCGCUCCAACCCAGCAGCUGGAACUAGGAGGCAGGUCUGAUUAAAUCUGCUCUGCCAUGAGGAGAAAAGCCAGCUUUAAUGAAACAUCACAGGACUCCCUACCCCGUCUUUAAACAGGGCAGGAAAAGGGACUCUGGGAUUACUUUGAGAGUGGCUGCUCGUGGUGUGCUCGCAAUUCACAGAGCAGAAAGCGAGCACUGAGUGAUCCAGGGCCUUGAAACUGGGGAUCUGCCUCAUUAAAAAGGGGCUGAUUGCCAGCAGCUUAUUAAAGGGGCUCACAGUCUGCCUUCAGAACGGCAGAAGGUUGGAGGGGUCAGCAGGUGCAGAUGCAGGUUUUCUCCUUGAUAGUUUUACUCCAAGCCAGUGAGAUCAGGGUCAGCUUGUAGAAGAACAGCUUUUCUGGGUUUCCUGCCCUGCCCAGCAGUGAUUGUUUGUGUGGAUCCACCAAAAGACACAGAGCCAGCCAACAGCUCUUUUUUUUAUUGAAUCCCAGAAGGGUUUGGGA